This 564-nucleotide ribosomal RNA is filed under the name Klebsiella pneumoniae. RNAcentral describes it as "bacterial SSU rRNA". It matches the Rfam family "Bacterial small subunit ribosomal RNA", at positions 121 to 680 of the family's 1533-position model. The record is from RNAcentral. Lineage: Bacteria; Pseudomonadati; Pseudomonadota; Gammaproteobacteria; Enterobacterales; Enterobacteriaceae.
GGAAACUGCCUGAUGGAGGGGGAUAACUACUGGAAACGGUAGCUAAUACCGCAUAACGUCGCAAGACCAAAGAGGGGGACCUUCGGGCCUCUUGCCAUCGGAUGUGCCCAGAUGGGAUUAGCUUGUAGGUGGGGUAACGGCUCACCUAGGCGACGAUCCCUAGCUGGUCUGAGAGGAUGACCAGCCACACUGGAACUGAGACACGGUCCAGACUCCUACGGGAGGCAGCAGUGGGGAAUAUUGCACAAUGGGCGCAAGCCUGAUGCAGCCAUGCCGCGUGUAUGAAGAAGGCCUUCGGGUUGUAAAGUACUUUCAGCGGGGAGGAAGGGAGUAAAGUUAAUACCUUUGCUCAUUGACGUUACCCGCAGAAGAAGCACCGGCUAACUCCGUGCCAGCAGCCGCGGUAAUACGGAGGGUGCAAGCGUUAAUCGGAAUUACUGGGCGUAAAGCGCACGCAGGCGGUUUGUUAAGUCAGAUGUGAAAUCCCCGGGCUCAACCUGGGAACUGCAUCUGAUACUGGCAAGCUUGAGUCUCGGAGAGGGGGGUAGAAUUCCAGGUGUAGCG